RNAcentral lists this long non-coding RNA (401 nucleotides) under Brassica napus (rape). Its description in RNAcentral is "long non-coding RNA (BNAP_LNC003134)". Lineage: Eukaryota; Viridiplantae; Streptophyta; Magnoliopsida; Brassicales; Brassicaceae. The record is from RNAcentral.
UGUAUAUUAUCAUUGGUCAUAUAACAUUAAAUGUUAAUAAAUUUUACAUGAAAAACCGAAAAUGUCAUAUAAUUUGAAACAUAAAAAAUUUUCUAAAAUGAUUUAUAUUUAAAAACAGAGGGAGUAUCAUAUAUUAGAGAAUGCUACUUACCCAAAUUUAUCGAACUAAAUGUUUGGUAGUUUCCAUGUUAAAAUGUGAAAAUAGUUGUUAAUUGGCCUUUUGCAGGUUCAUAUUAAUUAAUGUAAUUAUUUUCUUGGAAUAAAAUUGGAGAGAGUCGUCGGUGGUCUAAUCUGGUGGCUUUUUAAUAUAAACCGACCAACCCUCAGCACUAAGGUUAGAUUUAGCACUAGGGUUAGAUUUAGAAGGUUCUCUUUCUAUGGGGUUAGAAAGGGAUUCAAAC